RNAcentral lists this ribosomal RNA (377 nucleotides) under uncultured Gammaproteobacteria bacterium. RNAcentral's name for it is "bacterial SSU rRNA". It matches the Rfam family "Bacterial small subunit ribosomal RNA", at positions 521 to 896 of the family's 1533-position model. The record is from RNAcentral. Lineage: Bacteria; Pseudomonadati; Pseudomonadota; Gammaproteobacteria.
UAAUACGGAGGGUGCAAGCGUUAAUCGGAAUUACUGGGCGUAAAGGGUACGUAGGCGGUUAUUUAAGUUGGAUGUGAAAGCCCCGGGCUCAACCUGGGAACUGCAUCCAAAACUGGGUAACUAGAGUGUAUGAGAGGUUGGCGGAAUUCCAGGUGUAGCAGUGAAAUGCGUAGAUAUCUGGAGGAACAUCAGUGGCGAAGGCGGCCAACUGGCAUAACACUGACGCUGAGGUACGAAAGCGUGGGGAGCGAACGGGAUUAGAUACCCCGGUAGUCCACGCCCUAAACGAUGAGAACUAGCUGUUGGUUGCGUAAAUGCAGUCAGUAGCGAAGCUAACGCGUUAAGUUCUCCGCCUGGGGAGUACGACCGCAAGGUUG